UUAGGUGUCUCUCGGGCUGACUUUUGAAGGUCUGGAGCUGGCCGUUUAUGAGGGUUUAUAAGGGUUUUAAGCGCUCCGGCCAUGGGCACCAACCCGAUCUUCCAGCCCCUGCGGACGGACUGCCCCCCCCCCGCCCCGGGGGGAUUGGCUGCUCUGGGACCCCGAGCCCAGAGGGCAGUGAGAAGCUGACAAACCUUAAAUACAGACCAGAAGAGGAGUUUGGGGCUUGACACCUGACAUCUUAACACCAGUUCCUGUUUCUUGAGGAAGGAAGAGGUAAAAUAAAUCAGCGUUUACUGUGUAGUUCUCCAUCCCCAGAAGUCCUGAUGAAGACCCUCUCAGCUUCUACUUGAACGUGAAUAUGAGCAACUGAUCAUCUGUUCUGAAGUCAGCCCCUGGCCUGAUUCUGACUCAUGGUAUUGACCUUCUCCAUCAUCACCUUCCACAAAUUUGAUUCCUAUCUAUUCUGCCUGGAAUGGUUCACGAGUAUAAUCACCAUUUAUGUUCCUGACGAAAGCAGGUGAAGACAUUCGUUGAGAGAGGCAAUUUCCAUGCGUGCAGGCAAAGUGUGUGCUGAGAUGAUGAGUUGCUGGAGACCAGGGUGGACUCUUCAGACCCAGAAUAGGCCUCUGGCAGGCAUUCUAUCAGGCACUCCAAGCUGUGAAGUGCAUGGGGGGAGAAAGAAGAGAUUUCAGAGAAUGAACACAUACAGAGAGAGAGGCAAGAGAUGCUUAAAUACAGACCAGAAGAGGAGUUUGGGGCUUGACACCUGACAUCUUAACACCAGUUCCUGUUUCUUGAGGAAGGAAGAGGUAAAAUAAAUCAGCGUUUACUGUGUAGUUCUCCAUCCCCAGAAGUCCUGAUGAAGACCCUCUCAGCUUCUACUUGAACGUGAAUAUGAGCAACUGAUCAUCUGUUCUGAAGUCAGCCCCUGGCCUGAUUCUGACUCAUGGUAUUGACCUUCUCCAUCAUCACCUUCCACAAAUUUGAUUCCUAUCUAUUCUGCCUGGAAUGGUUCACGAGUAUAAUCACCAUUUAUGUUCCUGACGAAAGCAGGUGAAGACAUUCGUUGAGAGAGGCAAUUUCCAUGCGUGCAGGCAAAGUGUGUGCUGAGAUGAUGAGUUGCUGGAGACCAGGGUGGACUCUUCAGACCCAGAAUAGGCCUCUGGCAGGCAUUCUAUCAGGCACUCCAAGCUGUGAAGUGCAUGGGGGGAGAAAGAAGAGAUUUCAGAGAAUGAACACAUACAGAGAGAGAGGCAAGAGAUGGUGAGUGGGGAUGUCUUGCAUACUGAUAUCCUGAGGAAAGUGGGAAAAUUGGACCCUGGCUUGCUCUGCCAAUGCCGUGAAGCAGUCCGCACCAGGGGCUCCCUUGUGCCUGCAUAGCCUUUCCCAGGGUGUGCUCAAAUCCUUUGGCCACUAGGUGUCCUAGGUCACAAUGGAGGACCCUGUGUCAUCUGCCUGGUGGACUGGAUCUCUGCCAUUGGCUAAGUCUUGUCACCAGGCCCAUCAUAAGCUCUGCCCACUCUUCCGGUGGGGAGACUCUCUCCAUGGUGAUGGCAAAGAAACCUUAGUCCCGCCCACCUGGCCUUGACUUCACCUACCUGGCCUGCUGACCCUCACCCAGACCUCUGUGUGGAUGAAAAUGAAUGUCCACCAGUGGCCCAGUGUCAGCGUCUGGUAUAAAGGAUUCGGGACGUUUCCUGAGGCAGAAGGCAGCCUACGUCUGCGGGUACCUGGAAGUCUAGUGACUUGUGAUGCUGCUGCCAGUGAGAAAUGGUGACUCCCACACUCACAUAUCCCCUGGUGGCAGAAUGAUAGUGAUGGGUGGAGAAACAUGGCUCCGGAGCACAUGUUCAGUGGGGCACCGGCCAAAUGUCAGGGCCAGGAGUGGACGUCGUGGAGCUGCAUGGCGUGCCAGUGAAGGGCCCAAGGAUUUCUCCAAUGAGGCAAAAUGCAGAUCAAGCCAAGGAACACAAAGAUAAAGCAGCUGAAGAAAUUAAAAAGGUUACUCAAGAACAUAGUUAAAAAUUUAAUAAGCUGCAAGAAACCAUAGAGAGACUGCAAUCAGAGAUUCAGAAGAUUAACAAUAAAAUUACAGAGUCAGAAAACUCAAUAGAAAGUAAUAAGAGCACAAUUGAGGAAUUGGAAGGCAGAAUUACUGAGAUGGAAGAUCAAACUCUUGGGACUAAUAUAUUUGAAGAGAAAGCAGAUAAAAGAAUUUUAAAUGAAGAAAUCCAAAGAAUCAUGUGGGACUUUAUCAAGAGAAAUAACUAUGAGUGAUUUCAGUACCAGAACAGGGAGGGCUAACAGAAAAUACAGAGGGAACUGUUGAAGAUUUGUUGGCAGAACUUCCCUGAUAUCAUGAAAGAUGCUCAUCGAAUUCCACAUACGGUAGAUCUCAAAAGAAAGUGACCGAGACACAUAAUAAUCAAACUUGCCAAAAUCAAAUAUAAAGAGAAUUUUAAGAGAGGCUAGGGAUAAAGGAAGUCACCAACAAAGGAGAGUAAAUAAUAAAAAACUUGGACUACUCAGCAGAAAUCAUGCAGGCAAGAAGGCAAAGGGAUGACUUACACAAAAUAUUGAAGGAAAAAAAUUGCCAGCCAGGAAUCAAACCAUAACCCUGGCCCUCUGGCCUUCGGGCCCUCUGGCCUUAGCCCUCUAACUCUAGCCCCUAAGCCCUGAGCCCCAAAGCCCCUAAGACCCUAAGCCCUUAGGUCCUAACCCCCAAGGCCCUAAACUCUAACCCUAACCCAAACCCUAACCCCUAUUCCCUAAACUCUACAACCUAAACACCUACACCCCAAAACACUACACAUCAAAACCCUACACACUAAACCCUAUACUCUAAGCCUCAAACCCUAAACCCAAACCUCAAAUCCCAAACCCCAAACCCUAAACCUAACCGUAAACCCUAAACCCUAACACCUAACCCUAACCCCUAACCACCCUAACCCUAAUGACCCUAACCCUCGAACCCUAACCCUCUAACGCUAACAUGAAACCCUAAUCCGAAACCCUAACCCUCUAACUCUAACCUCUAACCCUAACCCUCUAACCCUAGCCCUAAUCCUAACCCCAACCUCCAAACCUAACCCCAAACCCUAAACCUCAAAUCCCUAGCCCUAAACCUAAGAAUGAGCCUAAGCCUAACCCUAUCACUUAACUCUAAACCCUAAACCAUAACACUUAAAACCCUAACACCCUUAGCCCUAACACAUUUAACCCUAACACCCUAAACGCCAAAACCCUAAACACUAACACCCUUAACUCCAACCCCUAACCCCUAAACCCUAAGCUUAAACACUAAACCGUCUAACCCUCUAACCCUAAUACCCUAAACCCUAACCCCAGCCCCCAGCCUUAACGCUCACUCUAAGCCUUAAACCUUAAGCCCUAAACCCUAGGCUCUAAGCCCUAAGCCCUAAACUCUAAAUCCUAAAACCCUAAACUCUAAGCCCUAAGCCUAACCCUCUAAUCCUAAACCCUAAAACCUUACCCCAAACCCAUCCCAAACCCCUAAACCUGAACCCCUAAGCCCUAGCCCUAACCCUAAUCCUCUAAGCCUAACCCUCUAACCCUAACUCUCUAACCCUAACCACAACACCAACCCCAACCUCUGAACCCAAAAACCCUAACCCCCUAACCCCAAGCUUCUGAACCCUAAGCCUAAACCCUCUAACCCUAAAUCCUAACCUUCACCCCCUCACACCCUCACCUUCUCACUCCCUCACUCUAUAAUCUUCUCAACUUCUAACCCCCUCACCCUCUAACCCCUCACCCUCUAACUCCCUCAAUCUCUAACCCCCAACCCUCUAGACCCCAACCCUCUAACACCCACCCUCUAACCCCAAACCACAUAUCCCAAACAGACCCAACACCAACCCCAACCCUAAACCUAAACCCUGACCCCUAAAACCUAAACCAAACCCUAACGACUAAACCCCAAAACCCUAAACCCCAAACUGCAACCCCUAACACCUAACCUUAACUCCAAACUCUAACCUCAAACCCUAAACCUAACCCUAACACCUAACCCCAACCAAAAAACCCUAACCCUAAACUCUAACCCCAAACCCUAACGACCCUAACUCUAACAACCCUAACCUUAACAUCCCUAAGCCCAAACCCUAACCCUUUUUGUUAGCAGCCAUAGCACUUAACCACUAGCCACCAGGGUUUCCAUGAGCAGUCACAGGAAUAGACACAUGCACACCCGUGUUCACUGCAACAUUAUUCACAGUUGCAAAAAGAUGGAAACAACCUAAGUGCUCGUCCACAGAGGAAUGGAUAAACAAACUACGGUACAUACACAGUGGAACACUACACGACAAUAAAGACCAAUGAUGAAUCUCCGAAACAUCUCACACCAUGGAUGAAUCUGGGGCGCAUCACACUAAGUCAAUCACAAAACGUCAUAUACAGUAAGAGACCACUAUCAUAAAAACUCAUGAAAACAUUUACGCACAGAAACAAUCCUUGAUGUUCACCAGGGAGACGAAGAGCGGGUAGAGAAAAGCCAACUAAACAAUAACCAAAAAAACCAAACCCACUGCUGUCGAGUUGAUUCCAGCUCAUAGCGACCCUACAGGACAGAUUAGAACUGCCCCCAUAGAGUUUCCAAGGAGUGCUUGGUGGAUUCGAACUGCAGACCUUUGGUUAGCACCGGUGGCUCUUAACCACUACGCCACCAGGGUUUCCAACCAAACAACAGAUCGGUGGUAACUCUGGCGAAGGAAAGACGGUACACAAGACUGGGGAAUCAAUCUCAGCCUCACUCUAACCCUAACCCUAAACCACUUGUGCCCGAGCCUAGUAACCCCAGCCCUAACCCCAACCCCCAACCACCUAAAACCUGUACCCCUAAACCUAACUCCCAAACCUCUAACCCCCAAACCUGGACCCCUAACACCAAACCCUAACCCCUAACCCUAAUCCUCUAACCCUUCUGCAUCUCUGGGCCUCUCGACUCUCCGUCUAUUUUCUUCCUCCAAAUCCUACUAACACUCAGUGGAAUUUUGAAGUUUGAGCUGUGCUUUGCUUCUUGUUGUCUCCACCGGUCCCAUCAAGGCACUGCAUCAUUUGCUCUGCUUCACUAUUCAGUUCCAAAACCAUGGCUUAGAAUCGCCUGACACUGGACUUCAGCGAUUCGGUGCAAGGCCGCGAGAGGGCGCGCGCACCGCCGGUUCUGUUCUGCCCACCAGGCCCUCUGAGCAUGGGAACCUCCUGGACCUAAGCCCGGACGACCUGGGUACCGCUCCAGUGGCGACAGCAGAAGCUUUUCUUCCCGAGGGACCCAACGCCCCAGGGCGCUCUCUCAAUACUCCCGUUAAUGCUAUGAUUAUCCUAACCCACUCCUUCUGUGCGACCUAGUGGGUCCUCUACCAGGUCCAGCCUUCACGACCCGCACCCCCCUGCCGUGGUCAUGUACAGGAACCUGCAGGGCCGCGCCCUCCCCGCCCAAGCUCUGCCCCUCCAUACCCUGAUGCCCUGCAGGCCUCUACUAGGUACCCGCCCAGGGGAGAGUUGUCGCCCCGCACGGGUCGGGGGACACGAGGGAACAUUCGGAAACCACCCCCAGGCACGAAGCCGACUGCCGGAUUGCCGGUAUUGAGACCAUGUGAGCAGGGCUGCCCCGCCAACUGGAGCCUGCAGGACAUCACUCACGUUUGUCAGCUUCUCACCGCCCUCUGGGCUCCGGGUCCCAGAGCAGCCAAUCCCCCGGGGGGGGAGGGGGGGCGGUCCGUCCGCAGGUGCUGGAAGAUCGGGUUGGUGCCCAUGGCCGGAGCGCUUAAAACCCUUAGAAACCCUCAUAAACCGUCAGCUCCAGACUUUCAAAUGUCAGCCUGAGAGACACCUAAUCUCCAACCUAAAAAAAAAAAACAAAACACACCCGUUGCCAUCGAGUCAAUUCUGACUCAUAGCGACGCUAUAGGACAGAGUAGAACUGCCCCACAGUUUCCAGGGAGCGCCUGGUGGAUUCAAACUGCCAACCUUUUGGCUAGCAGCCUUAGCACGUAACCACUACGCCACCAGGGUAACCCACUAAACCUACUGCCACCAGGGUAGAGGCUCCAAAUCCCGCCAGUGUGAGGAACCCUCAAAUCCCCUCAGCACCAGAGACCGCGUCCACAGCGACCGGUACACAGCGCCGCACAAACGUUUAAGUUAACAAACAACAUGGUUGCUCAGGACCCCUUCCUGCUACCCCACCCCUGCCACGCAGAGGGGGAGCGGGACCCGGCAUCCACACUGUUAACAGACACUGAAUCGCUGCUGCAUCCACAAGGAGUAGGAUCCCCGCGCUGCUCCACAGAU
Molecule: long non-coding RNA, 6315 nt
Organism: Loxodonta africana (African savanna elephant)
Lineage: Eukaryota; Metazoa; Chordata; Mammalia; Proboscidea; Elephantidae
Exons: 9
Source: RefSeq, a predicted model, not a curated record